AAGUCGUAACAAGGUCUCCGUUGGUGAACCAGCGGAGGGAUCAUUACAGAGAAUCUCUUCUCCAACCAUGGCGAACGCAACGACGCUCCUCGGCGGGGCGGCCCCCGCGGCCGCGCCGCCGGAGAGCCCCAACAGACGCUGUAUUGUUCGUGGCUUCUCUGAGUAUGAUUGUCGCAAUCAGUCAAAACUUUCAACAACGGAUCUCUUGGCUCUG
This 214-nucleotide unclassified non-coding RNA is filed under the name fungal sp. Its description in RNAcentral is "partial internal transcribed spacer region". The stretch from base 1 to 46 matches the Rfam family "Eukaryotic small subunit ribosomal RNA", at positions 1786 to 1831 of the family's 1831-position model. Lineage: Eukaryota; Fungi. The record is from RNAcentral.